This 513-nucleotide ribosomal RNA is filed under the name uncultured bacterium. RNAcentral describes it as "partial 16S ribosomal RNA". It matches the Rfam family "Bacterial small subunit ribosomal RNA", at positions 28 to 507 of the family's 1533-position model. The record is from RNAcentral.
GACGAACGCUGGCGGCGUGCUUAACACAUGCAAGUCGAACGAGAGCGUAGAGAAAGCUUGCUUUUUCUCCAAUCUAGUGGCAAACGGGUGAGUAACGCGUAAACAACCUGCCCUACGGAUGGGGACAACAGCUGGAAACGGCUGCUAAUACCGAAUACGUUCCGAAAGUCGCAUGACUAUCGGAAGAAAGGAUGGCCUCUAUUUAUAAGCUAUCGCCGGAGGAGGGGUUUGCGUCUGAUUAGCUAGUUGGAGGGGUAACGGCCCACCAAGGCGACGAUCAGUAGCCGGUCUGAGAGGAUGAACGGCCACAUUGGAACUGAGACACGGUCCAGACUCCUACGGGAGGCAGCAGUGGGGAAUCUUCCGCAAUAGGCGAAAGCCUGACGGAGCAACGCCGCGUGAGUGAAGACGGCCUUCGGGUUGUAAAGCUCUGUUAUACGGGACGAAUAAUCUUGUGGUUAAUACCCAUGAGAAGUGACGGUACCGUAAGAGAAAGCCACGGCUAACUACGUG